This 468-nucleotide ribosomal RNA is filed under the name uncultured bacterium. Its description in RNAcentral is "partial 16S ribosomal RNA". It matches the Rfam family "Bacterial small subunit ribosomal RNA", at positions 28 to 507 of the family's 1533-position model. The record is from RNAcentral.
GACGAACGCUGGCGGCGUGCUUAACACAUGCAAGUCGAACGGAAAGGCCCUGCUCUUGUGGGGUGCUCGAGUGGCGAACGGGUGAGUAACACGUGAGUAACCUGCCCUUGACUUUGGGAUAACUUCAGGAAACUGGGGCUAAUAUCGGAUAGGAGCUCCUGCUGCAUGGUGGGGGUUGGAAAGUUUCGGCGGUUGGGGAUGGACUCGCGGCUUAUCAGCUUGUUGGUGGGGUAGUGGCUUACCAAGGCUUUGACGGGUAGCCGGCCUGAGAGGGGGACCGGCCACAUUGGGACUGAGAUACGGCCCAGACUCCUACGGGAGGCAGCAGUGGGGAAUAUUGCACAAUGGGGGGAAGCGUGUGGCAGCGACGCCGCGUGCGGGAUGACGGCCUUCGGGUUGUAAACCGCUUUCGCCUGAGACGAAGCGUGAGUGACGGUAAUGGGUAAAGAAGCACCGGCUAACUACGUG